CUAUUGGUAUAAGAUAGCAAUCCUAUUUUACCUUCAUAGUGAUUCACUAUGAAGGUACAUUUACCUUUUACAAACUGUAAAAGGUAAAUGUAGUGAAAAUAGUGGGAAUAAGGUUAUUAUCACUCAAACAUAUGAUUUGCUUGUGUAACUCAAUUUUUUUAUUUAUCAUUCAAUUUGCGAAAAUAUCCAAUCAAAAUGGCUUUUAGGAUGACAGUGAAAUAUUUGUUGGCUAUACGCUUGUCAGUACCACAAUUCCCAUCUAUAAAUUGGAUCCAUCGAAAAAAACUUAUACUUUCACGGAUGGAAUCACAAGAGUUUACAUGAACUUUGUACAAACUUGAUUUGAAGAUGGACUUCAUGAUAUUUUUACAAUAAAAGAGUGUCAAUACUUGUCUGGUAAUAAAAAAUUAACCCUCGUCUUCGUAAUACAACGUAAAGACAACCAAUCUUCACAAGAACUCGCCAAAAAUCAUGUUUACGCGUUGAUACAAGAAUUUAUGUAUUAUAUUAUUCUACCCGAAAAAAUCAGUCCACUUCGAAUCGAUACCGUUCAAUAUAAUCUAAAUGAAGCACAAAUUGAAAUAAUAGUGAACAUUCCUGGAUACACCUAAUUUUCAAUAUAUUUUCAACACUAAAACUAUGUCUGUCAAUGCGGAUACAUUUAAAAAGAUGAAACCAAUAAAAGCCAAUCAUGGUUUUGAUUGUGUGCACAAGUUAUCAAAAAUCAAGGAAUAUAUCAGUGUAGUAAUUUAUAGACCAUCAGAUUCUUCCUGUGGAUAUUUGACAAAGUUUGAAGAUCUCGAGGAAGAUACAAAAGCCGGAGAACCAUGCAUCGUCUAUCACUUUCCUUUACAAAAUUUGCAACGCAUUGAUCAAGAAAUACCGCUGGAUCAGAUUCAUAAUACUUAUUUGCAAAACUUAUUAGUAAAAAGUCACGGCUUUUUCAUUGGAUAUUAUCGCAAGUACUUCUCAGCCACAAGCUAUACCGAGCGUACAGGGGCAAUAUUCCUACUUUCAAGUGGAUAACCUACAAGUUAUAGUUACAGCUUCAACGAAUUAUAAUCACGUUCCAUUUGGCAAUGUAAAUGUUUUUUUUAUCGAAAAAAAGUCAUCUGCGUGUGAAAUUUAGAAGUAUGCAA
This is a non-coding RNA of Tetranychus urticae (two-spotted spider mite), 1139 nucleotides long. The record is from RefSeq and is a predicted model, not a curated record. Lineage: Eukaryota; Metazoa; Arthropoda; Arachnida; Trombidiformes; Tetranychidae.